UAAUAAAGUAAGCUAAAUAAGCUAGUGGGUUCAUACCCCAAAAAUGAAUUUUCUCCUUUAUUAA
RNAcentral lists this transfer RNA (64 nucleotides) under Amblyomma marmoreum. Its description in RNAcentral is "tRNA-Met". Lineage: Eukaryota; Metazoa; Arthropoda; Arachnida; Ixodida; Ixodidae. The record is from RNAcentral.